This 242-nucleotide ribosomal RNA is filed under the name uncultured bacterium. Its description in RNAcentral is "partial 16S ribosomal RNA". It matches the Rfam family "Bacterial small subunit ribosomal RNA", at positions 82 to 334 of the family's 1533-position model. The record is from RNAcentral.
UGGGUUUAGACCCACGGCGAACGGGUGAGUAAUACCUAGGAACGUAUCUUUAGUUGAGGAUAUCCCGCCGAAAGGCGGAGCAAUACUCAAUGUGGUCAGCCUCGGCUGACUAAAGUCGCAAGACGCUAAAGAAGCGGCCUGGGCACCAUCAGCUAGUUGGUAGGGUAAAGGCCUACCAAGGCUAUGACGGUUAGGGGCCCCGAGAGGGGAGACCCCCACACUGGGACUGCGACACGGCCCAG